UGGGGAAUCAUGGUCAAUGGGCGAAAGCCUGAACCUGCGACGCCGCGUGAGUGAUGAAGGUCGUAAGAUCGUAAAACUCUUUUCAGGGAUCUUAAAGCCUGUCUGUCAACAACAGGCAGGUCUGACUCUCCCUGGAAGAAGCCCCAGCCAACUACGUGCCAGCAGCCGCGGUAAUACGUAGGUGGCAAGCGCUAUCCGGAAUUACUGGGUGUAAAGGGAGCGAAGGCGGGAUAGCAAGUCAGUUGUGAAAACUAUGGGCUCAACCCAUAAAUUGCAGUUGAAACUGUUAUUCUUGAGUGGAGUAGAGGCAAGCGGAAUUCCGAGUGUAGCGGUGAAAUGCGUAGAUAUUCGGAGGAACACCAGUGGCGAAGGCGGCUUGCUGGGCUCUAACUGACGCUGAGGCUCGAAAGUGUGGGGAGCGAACA
This 425-nucleotide ribosomal RNA is filed under the name uncultured prokaryote. Its description in RNAcentral is "bacterial SSU rRNA". It matches the Rfam family "Bacterial small subunit ribosomal RNA", at positions 355 to 774 of the family's 1533-position model. The record is from RNAcentral.